AAUAUUGGGCGUAAGAGCUCGUAGGCGGUCUGUCACGUCUGCUGUGAAAACCCGAGGCUCAACCUCGGGCUUGCAUUGGGUACKGGCAAACUAGAGUGCGGAAGGGGAGAUUGGAAUUCCUGGUGUAGCGGUGGAAUGCGCAGAUAUCAGGAGGAACACCGAUGGCGAAGGCAAAUCUCUGGGCCGUAACUGACGCUGAGGAGCGAAAGCAUGGGGAGCAAACAGGCUUAGAUACCCUGGUAGUCCAUGCCGUAAACGUUGGGAACUAGAUGUGGGGACCAUUCCACGGUCUCCGUGUCGUAGCUAACGCAUUAAGUUCCCCGCCUGGGGAGUACGGCCGCAAAGCUAAAACUCAAAGGAAUUGACGGGGGCCCGCACAACCGGCGGACCAUGCGGAUUAAUUCAAUGCAACGCAAAAAACCUUACCAGGGCUUGACAUAUACCGGAAACGGCCAGAGAUGGUCGCCCCGCAAGGUCGGUAUACAGGUGGUGCAUGGUUGUCGUCAGCUCUUGUCGUGAGAUGUUGGGUUAAGUCCCGCAACGAGCGCAACCCUCGUCCUAUGUUGCCAGCACGUAAUGGUGGGAACUCAUGGGAUACUGCCGGGGUCAACUCGGAGGAAGGUGGGGAUGAGGUCAAAUCAUCAUGCCCCUUAUGUCUUGGGCUUCACGCAUGCUACAAUGGCCGGUACAAUGGGCUGCGAUACCGCAAGGUGGAGCGAAUCCCAAAGAUCCGGUCUCAGUUCGGAUUGUGGUCUGCAACUCGACCCCAUGAAGUCGGAGUCGCUAGUAAUCGUAGAUCAGCAACGCUACGGUGAAUACUUCCCGGGCCUUGUACAAGCGCCCGUCAAGUAUGAAAGUCGGUAACACGUAAGCCAGUGAGCUAACCUCCGGAGGGAGCUGUCAAAGGGGGAUCGGUGAUUGGGCGAAGUCUAACAU
This 936-nucleotide ribosomal RNA is filed under the name Agrococcus lahaulensis. RNAcentral's name for it is "bacterial SSU rRNA". The record is from RNAcentral. Lineage: Bacteria; Bacillati; Actinomycetota; Actinomycetes; Micrococcales; Microbacteriaceae.